This is a long non-coding RNA of Drosophila yakuba, 7620 nucleotides long. RefSeq lists it as uncharacterized. The record is from RefSeq and is a predicted model, not a curated record. Lineage: Eukaryota; Metazoa; Arthropoda; Insecta; Diptera; Drosophilidae. The transcript has 2 exons.
UAUACUGGUGUAUGUAUGUUCAUAUGGAGGCACACCAAGGCCUUACAUACAGACGAGGGGGCAGUACGCUGAAACACUCAUGCAGAUAAUACAAGCAACGAUCCUCAACGAGGCGACUUCGGGGCCGCGACAUGGGGCAUCCAAAUUGGAGCGCUGCUCACAUGAUUUCUCGGACCCAUCCCCAUUCGUUCGUCCAGCUGCGCACCCAAACCAAACCGAACAUAACCGAACCGAAUCCGAUUCCGAAUCCGAUUCCGAGUCCGAAUCCGAGUCCAAAACCCCCGAGUGGAAUCCAAAAUCGGACGAGCAUCAUGUGGCCACCAUUUGUAGCUUGUCAUAGACUGAUGUGUUAAUAUGUUGUUUAAAAAUUUCCAAAAAAAAAAAAUAAAUAAAAAUUUAAAAAAUAACCCUAAAUACACACAUAUAUGAGAAAGAGAAAGGAAAAACAUUUGUGCAAAAUUCAAGAGCCAGCGAUGAAUGAUUGUUUGAUGGAUUAGUUGAAAGACAGACAUGUGGCCAAAUUUAAUAACAACGUUAAAGACAUUCCUCAACGGUUUUGUGACGAAGGUUAAAUGCCCUAGGGAAUGUAAUUAUCCAAGUUAUUUUCAGGCUUUCAAAAGCUUGUUUUGGAUUUUUAUCAAAGCCUGGACAAUACGAACUUACAAUGAAUCAGAAAUUCCCAGAUAAAGUCAACUAAUUCGGACUUCUGGUUAAAGUACUAUUUUGUACUAUCAUGUAAUAAAUAGAAAGAGGUGCUAGUGAUUGCCCACCCAAAUGGACUUUGUCAGCAGCCCUGAUCUUUGGGGCACUACGAGUACGUGAGCAUUUGAGGCCAGAAAGCCAGAUGCCAAAAGGCACAGGGCUGCUGACCCAAGAUGGCCAAGAUGGAGAUGGAGUACGGAGGAGAUCAGCGCGAAAACAAUUAUCGAAAGGCCGCUAAGUUGACUUAUCGCUCGAAGAGGCGGCUGCGUUGUUUGUUUAGAUAUUUUUGCCUUAGCUUUUAUUUUCAUUAUUUCUGAGGGAGCAGGGCAGGGAAGGGAUGGGGGGUAUGGGGGGGCGGGGCACUCGCUGGGAUCACAUGCUUUUUCAGCUACGCAAGCAAAACAAAAGCGAGCCACAGCCAAACAAUAUUAAGCAAAUAAAUACAUUCAUACAUAAAUACGGGCGGGCAUGCAUAAUGAACGAAGACAAGAACAACACACGCUUCCCCCGAUCCGCCGAUCAUAUAGCCCUCUCUUUCGGGGGUGGUUCUGUGCAGUGCAGAACUAUAUACACUAUACUAUAUAGGAAUAUUUUGAUUGAUACGGCCAGGUGUACUUAUGGGGGAUGUAAGGCGGAGUGGAGUGCCACUCGAGUGGGCACGGGCGUUAUCGGGCUUUGCCUGGAUUAUGUUUUGAUUAGCCCUUGGAUACUCCACUGCGCCACACUGAUUGAUAUGGGAAAUCGCUGGCAAUUGAUAUGUCCCAGACUUUUAGCUUUUGGCUUUUGGCUUUUGGCUAUUGGCACGGCCACCGUUCCACACACGAGCAUGCACAAUACAAAGCCAGAGUGAUAAACAGAGAGUAAAGGCGCACAAUUGUAAUUAAAUCAGCAUCUGUUAAUGACUUUACAGAGCGUGUCUGGCCGUCUGAUUCUCCCUGUCUGCGGAUUUUGCACUGAGAGAAACCAAAGCGCUCUAAAGCAUUUGUUCAUUUUUCGCUGCGGAAAUUUCUAGAGCUGCAAAAUUCCUUAGACUUUCUUACUUGGCAAAAUACAAGCACUUAGAUAUGUAAUCAAAUGAAACGAAGAACCUCGUUAACACUUUUUUAUGAGAGUUUGUAUGAAGAUUUCCACCAAUUUUAACCAAGGUUCGGCCUUCAAGGAUAGACUUCUUGCUAGCAGAUGCCACUUUUUCCCCCAGUGUUCGUCUUUCCGUGUGAGUGAGUGAAAGAGAGCGUGGCAAAUAAACACAGAUUUCCAAAGCGACGACAGCACAGCCAACAAAGCCUCUCGGGGCUGGCGGGGCGGGGCGGGAAGGCAAGGCGGCGGCAAAAGCGAAACAACAACCAGUUGCUCCAUCCAUACAACAAGUCACAUGACCCAACCAACCAACCAACCGACCGACCGACCGUCCAACAACGAUGAUGGCGAUGGCGAUGGAGACGUUGGCGUUUGGCUACGACAAUGGGUAUAUAUAAUGUAUAAAUAUAUAUAUAUACGGUAUAACGGCAGCUGCGCCCAGCAAAUUGACUAUCAUUAUCACAGGGCCCAUUAUAAGCAGUUAUGCACACACAAAUAAAUCCAGUAGACACACGUCCGCACAGUCGAACGACCUUCACCCCGUCCUUUUGGAUCGCGAAAAAUCGAAUGUCAAGUUCAAAGCAAUUGGCAAUAUCCCCAAAGGCCACUCGCACUCUUUGGAACACCACAAAUUUAUCAGUCAGCCAGCCAGGCAAACAAAAAAAAAAAAGAAGAAAUAAACUACAAAAAAUAAACACAAACAAGAGUCGUCGUCCGUCGUCGUCGUCGUCGUCGCAGCCGCUCACAAUACUAAUGAGCAAAUGACGACAAAAAUAUCGAGUGAUUUUCAUUGUCACUUGAGACCAAUGCAAACAGACCCGGAAAAGUCAGGUGGGGUGCCAAGAGGAGGAGGUGGAGGUGGAGGUAAGGACAGGCGCAAUCAAUCAAUGAAAGUUCCCAGGUAACCAGAGCCACACACAAGUGCCAGCAUUGUGCACUUGUUUCCACCUGGCAAACACAACGUGACUCAGGAACAAGCCAACUUCUGUCCAGGUGAGCUCAUGGCCCAAAUGUCAACAAGUCAAGAGUCAGAGUCACAGAAAGAUGACGGAAUACUAAAUACGGAAUACGGAAUUCGGAAUCCGGUGAUCGCACAUCAGCGAUGGUAUCAAACCUGAAAGCAAUACUUCCGUCAUCUGGCGAAUAAAUACAUAGAUCGUUACAGCAGCAGAAGGAAUCAGUAAAAAUGGUUUCAUUCAGCAAUCUGGGAUCAGGGAUUAAUGGAAACAUUUACAUUAACAAGCACGAUCGAAGGGAAAAUAAUAGCCGGACCUUGCAGAUAAGGCGGAACCACCAAGUGCCCUGUAAGCUACCAUAUAAGCAGUUUUACAACCCAGAAUCAUGUGGCUAGCUUGGUGAAAAAUUCCAUUUGCCGAUUGCUUAUUAAUAACGCAGUCCUUAUAACUUUUUUUCUUAGUAGACAUUAAAGUUCCUUUACAGAAAUUUGGUUCAUUGAAUGGAAUAAACUAAGCAAAGAAAUGUAUAAAUUAAGCAUAGAAACUAUGAUAUGAAUUAUGACCUAUUUGCAAUAUUUGCCUAAUACAAUAAUAAAUUGUGUUUUAUUGUCGGGCUUGUAAAUCAUAAUUUUACAAUCAAAUUUGUCUGUGGAGUCCUAAACUAAAGACCGCACAUAAAUCUCAAGCGAAGCAUAAAAAUGAUCUGUGAAGUUUAAAACCCAAGUUGAAUACCCUUAAAUCACAUUAGGUAUUCACUGUUUUAAGCUUUCUAUCUGGAAUUUAACGAUUCAAACAGUUAAGGUUCGGCGAAAAGGUAAUAAACAGAUAUAGUCAUCCUCAUUAUUCACACUUCUGUGUGCACAGCUCGCACAGUAUGAAUUUCCAUAAUUCCGUGAAGUAACAGGCGAGUGUAAUCUUAGGUGUUUUUGGCCAUAACCAUAAUGCCCCCGUGAUUCGAUGAGCGUUAGGAUUGUUAGGAUUGGGCCUAAGGCAAUGGCAAACAGUAGUUUAAGUAGAACCGUGUGCAUGGGCCAUUGAAAACUAUUCGGAAAUCCUGCCCCCCUGGAAUAUUUCACCUAUAAGGUGUCUCGUUGAGCUUCCGUUAAUGGAGCUCUGGGCUUAGGCACUUGGGGCUCUUAUUUUGUUUGUCCAGCUCAUUGAUACAAGGCGGCGGCAGGCAGUGGAAAACAAAAGCGUUUUGUCAACUGAUAAUGGGUGAAAACAGGGCCAUUCCACAGACAGAGAAGCGCUAAUGUCUACACUGCCAGAUAGCUAGAGUGAGAAUUCAAGUGCAAAUGCGAUUUGCCAUAUACUGAUAUGACACAACACCUUACCUGUAUCACACUUUGGAGUUAGGUCUUUAUAAUCCUCUAUUUCUAACAAUAAAUACCAUUGACAGCUCCAUAAUAAAAUUAUUUUGUUUUUUCUUUAACUCAAGUUCAAAUUAUUAAAGCUCAAUGUUAAUCCGAUUAGGAUAUCAAGCAAUAAGAAGUUUAGCAAUUGGGAAUUAUUAUUAUAAGAUGAAAAGAAAGAGAAAUUCAGCCUUGACAUCUAACAUAUUGUUCUUGUGUUUUGGAGAUAUGUAUUGUAUUAUUUUGUUUUAUUUAUUUGUGUUGAUACACACUUUUUGUUGAUAAUUAAAUUAACAUUUAAUUAAUAAAUAUUUAAUGCUGUGCUAAAAAAUGUGGUAAUAAUCGGAAUGAACUGGAUUAAUACAAUGUAAUUAUUUAAAUGGAAUGUACAUUUAGAUUUCUUGAUCAAUUUAUUUUAAAAUUGAAUAAGGUAAGCUUUGUUUUUCCAAGUGCACCUGCUAUCGGAACGGGUCCCGAGGCAACAACAAAAACUGGAUACGCGACGUCGUCGACGAAUCACUACUCAUAUGACUUGGCAGACCACGCGACUUCGCACAUGAAGCACCACAUCACCACACCGCCGCACCGCCACAUCGUCACAUCGCCACCUAGUCCCCCCCUUCCCUUCCACUCGAAGUGCUGCCAUUUAAAUGUGCUGAUUUCUGUUUGCACAUAACUAAAGUUUGUGUGCCGACUGCUCCGCAGGCAAAAACGCGUACAUAUUUAAUUGCACUGAUGAUGUUGACGGAUGGUGGAUGGUGUGGGGGGCAGGCAGGGCAGGGGAUCCAUGUGAUAGGUAUAACACCUCUCCUGACUUGUGGCCCACGGCCCACAGCAAACUAGAGCCAGACACCCAGGCACCUGGCCAAUUACUAUACUACUCUAUUACGGUUCGUCGCAUCGUAACGCUACGGCCCAUGUAAUAAGUUCACACCUGCUGCGAUCCAACCACUUUGAUUGAUGUCUGGCCGGCCGGCUUGCCGGCGACUGUUUGGCCAUUCAAUUGGCGGGCAGUUAUCAAAAACUAUUAAUGAAUUCUCGUUCCCUCCCCAAUUUACGACUCAUUUGCCUAAGGCUCUAAGUGAAAUCAUCCAUAAUGGUUCAUUCAGAGCGGUGAAUUUUUUUGUGGAAGAUUGAUAUGUGUGGCUUUGUUUGAUCGCCAAUCGAACGCGAUUUUAUUGUGUGCCACACGUGCCUGAAGCCCUCGGCCCACGGACCAUAAUGAGACUUUGUUGGGCCAAAGUUUUCCACAAAAGGUGCUAAUUCGCUGGAUUUGCGUAGCUGGAUGCGAUGCGAUGAGAUGUGGUGGGUAUUCGUAUUCAUGUGAAAGUCCAGCGAUCGAUCGACAGCUUGCGAAUCGCACUUCGUAGAUCGCAAGGCGAUUGUGCGAGUACGAAAUCACAGUUUGUAUAUAGCCUGAAAUCCCCGGACUUAUCGGGAAUUAAUACCAGCUCGCUAAUAACGGAUAUAUGUAUUUUUGGACGCCAUAUGUGGUGGAUAUCGGGCGAAUGACUUGCGAAUUGGGUUAAGGAAUGCGCGCCUUCAAAGGCACAUGAUGCCAGGCGUCUGGUUUUGGAUUUAUUCGCUUUUGUGUCAUGCAUACACUUCGAGGCGAAUUUAAGCAAAAAACUGUCAUGUGACUAACUGGCUAGCAAAUGUCUAAACAUGGUCAUGACGACGGGGUCCAAAGGAAAUGAUUCACCCCUUCCCGCACGAUUGAUUCACCCCAGGUGUCCGGACCUUGAUUUCCAGCAUUUCACCAUUUCACAAUUUCUUAAUUAUACACAAGUGUCAUGAGUUUUUGGUGUUAUUUUCUUUAUUUUUUUUAUUUUCGCCAGCUUUUUUAUUCUUAGCUCUCUCGGCCUAUCAGAGGAGACCGAAAGUAUUUUUAAAUCAUUUCUUUUGUGCCCCGUGGAAAUAUGAACGAUAAGUGGAGGUUCAGAUUCUGUCGUGGAAAUUUACCCAAGCGUGCUGUCGUAAUUUAUUGUCGUCACCCAACUAAAUUAAGCAAAUAAACAAAUACAUUUAUUUGGCCCGAGUGGAGUUUUUAACUGCUAUUAGUGUAAACGUUUGUUUAGUUUACAGCGAAACCGAAAAAACCUGACCUAGUACAAAGAUAGCGGCGAAUAGGGGGUGUUUCGGGGGCUAAUUUGAGGGGGAGUUAGUCGGACCGGCUGUCUACACCUUACAGGUUUUUGCAUUUAUUGUUAGAAUUAUUCUCCAAGUGUGAGAGCGUGUGUGCCUGUGGGCAAAGUGCAAAAACCCCAAAAGCUGGCGACGCUUAAUUAGCAGAGUGAAAAGUUUCUAUCACGUGAUGGCGAUGGCGAAUGUUGGCGACAAGCGCGGCCAUAAAUGUAUAUACGGCCCGAAUAUUGGUCAAUACACACUCGAAUCUGACAAUUUCACCAUUAUGCUAUAUAUAUUUUAAACGCCAGCUUGGCGUCUGACCGAUAAGGCGGCCGAUUGACAGCGUCGACGAGGCGCUAAUCGAGUUAGCCGGGCAACGGGGGCCCUCAGCUUAGUGGCCCCAAAAAUAAAUGGGCAAACGAUUGAAAUAUUUUAUGGGCCAUGUCAGCAAUGGUCUCCGAAAUUCGUUAUCCAUUAGGUUUUUUUGCAUAUCGACAGUUUGAUAUCAUCGUGAGUGGUUGAAAUACGGGUUUAGAUCGUUAUCAAACUGAAGUGAUUAGAACUUGUAUUAAAUAAAUGCGAAUACGAAAACGAAUUUCGUUGUAUAGAGAGAUUUAUAACAGAGAAAACGGAUCUAAUAUUCUAACUAUGUUUGUUAAGCUGAGAAACAAAGAGCAUCGGUUAAAAAAUAAUACAAGAAAAGCAGAACGCAUCCUUGAAACUGAAUAGCUCUCUUGCCAACUUUAUGUACAUUAAAACCUUCAUAAAACUAAACAAACAAAUAAGUUUUCGGAGAACUGUAAUCUUAUCCGCUUUGAUUUCGCUAAAAUGUUAUACGAAACAGUAAGAGGUGUCAGUGAUAUUGCGUUCCUAGAAAAGCGGUCGUAGGUGUUUCCGCCAGUUAACCGUUAACAAAGCAUCCCGCAAUCACAGUCCCAUUCACACUCGCAGUCACAGCAACAGCAACAGGAACCAAAACCACAAUCAGAGCCCACGCACAAGUCAAGCAAAGUGUCAGAUAUAAACAUUGUAAAGCGUAUGCAGCAGCAUACAUAAGUAAAUAGUGUAAUAAAUAAUAAUGAAAUGAGAAUUAAGCGAAAAGGCAACAAAAACAAUGCGCCGCGCCAACAACAAAAUGUGUAUGACAUAAUAAUCACGAGAGCAGGCCGCGACCGCCGAUUAGCAAGUCAUGUGAUUCGCUUUUAUUUACAUUUGCGCCUGACGUUGCCUCCGCCUUACCCCGCCACGCCCCCGUAAAAGUGUACCAACGUUCGCCUACGUCUGCGUGAGUGCGAGCGAGAGGGUUAGCGCGCACGAAGCGAUAACGAUGAGAGCCGAGAACGAACCGAUCGAUCUUGGGCCAGAGAGGAGAGGUGCAAAAGGCGUGGGGAGAGGCAGAGCAUAGU